RNAcentral lists this transfer RNA (244 nucleotides) under Marmota monax (woodchuck). Its description in RNAcentral is "tRNA.Ala". Lineage: Eukaryota; Metazoa; Chordata; Mammalia; Rodentia; Sciuridae. The record is from RNAcentral.
UUCUAACUCAGUGGUAAAGAAUUUGCCUAGCAAACGCAAGGCACUGGGUUUGAUCCUCAGCAUCACAUAAAUAAAUAAAUAAAUAAAUAAAUUAAUUAAUUAAAGGUAUUGUGUCUAUCUACAACCAAAAAAAAAAAAAAAAAGAUUAAAAAGAAAGAAAACAUCUGUGCUUGGGUUGUAGCUCAGUAGUAAAGUACUUAACUAGCCAAUGCCAAGGACUGGGUUCAAUCCCCACUACUGGAAG